Long non-coding RNA from Zea mays, 2653 nucleotides. RefSeq lists it as uncharacterized. The record is from RefSeq and is a predicted model, not a curated record. The transcript has 2 exons. Lineage: Eukaryota; Viridiplantae; Streptophyta; Magnoliopsida; Poales; Poaceae.
GAGCAAUGCGGCCGUGCUCGUGCUCCUGCUCGCGGUUCACCAAUCAUGGUGCAUGUGUAGUGUAGACAAGACAGCCAACUAGUUGCAUUGCGGGCGAGUACGCGCGCAUGAUUGAGGAGGCUUCAUAGCAGCAAGGGCUCCCUCUGUGAGUCCUGAGAGAUUUGUAAAGGCGCGCAGGUGCAGGCAUCAAUGCUCGCAGCGAGCGCACGCAGAUCUAACUACAGCGCGGCCCAGGGGGCGCUGCCGCUUGUGCGCGCAGGUGACUGACAGCCACUACGCGAACAGGCACAAGGGGUUGAGGAGAAGCAACCAAGGGGUGUGGUUAGAUUGCAGCACGCCAGGACAAGCCUGGGUCGAUUCUUUGAUCCCACUCUCUCUGUUCUGUUCUGUUCUGUUCUCUUCUGUUUUUUUAAUUGUUUCUGCCUUCUUUCAUUUCAAAUUAGUGCAGGCCUGUUCAUUGUUUUGUAUUGUCUAUCUAUCUAUCUAUCUAUCUUUCCAGCAGCAGCAGCAGCACAGACCUGAUUGACAGCCACGGAGUUGAUCAGACGGCAGAUAUUGUAUUCUACUGCUACCUGCAUGUAUAGAUGCCAGCCAUGGGUGGUUGGUUACUUGGAGCAAGAGAUGCUGUUUAACCAUUUUGCUACUACAGGAGUAUACUCUACUUUUUUUUUCUCUCUCUCUCUGCCCUAACAUCCACUGAUCCACCAAAUUGAAAAAAAAGAGGAAUCUUGUUCAUGAUUUCAAACCCCAAGAAAACCAUGCACUGUUGGGACACGAACCGCAUCAAACUGGCCAGUGAUAGGAUAGGUAAAGCAGAGGAAAGGCUGCGUUGCCUUGGCCCCCUUGCCUUCUUGCAGGGGUGGCCAAAGUUGCAACUUGUUGCAGAUGCUUUUUUUUUUUUUGCCUUUCAUCCCUACUCGCCAAUUCUGAACUAGCAGCACCAAGUGAAAAGCUUUUUCACGCGCUAUCAGCUUUUACUGUGUCCUACGUACUCCAGUCCACAGUCUCCUACCCGCUAUCACCGUGCUCAGUUUGGAGAGAGCAGCAGUAUCUGUGGUGUUUGUUGUGGCAACUGUGAGACGGUCAAAGGCAACAAAGGAACUGUACUGCCACGAUCUCCAGUUACUAUCAGUGUUCAGUCUCUGCUGGAGCCAAUGCAUCCAUCCAUUCCAACCAGAACCAGCUUCCGCAGCCUCCUGUAGUCGCUUCAAGUUCAAGGUGACAGACGGAUGAUCCACCCAACUGGUUGGUUCUCUGUGGUCAUGGAAAGGCUCGAGUGCUGGUCGCAAAAGGGCGCGCAAGUGAAUGCUGCACAGCGGCACAAGAAAGCAAAGGCAUCUCUGUGGCUAGUCACUGAUGCGGAGGCAUGCCUGCCUACCUCAAAAGAAUGAGCUGGGAUCAGCUCUCUGCAUAUGUCACGCACACCACCUGCGCCUGUGCUGCCUGCUGCUGCUGCUGGAGGGUAUGCGUGCACAAUGCUGCUUUGCCUCGGUCCUCUCUUCUAUCAUUGCAAUCUUUUUGCCAUCGCUGAAGAUGACACAGGACACCAUGAUCGUAUGCCCCCCCCCAGCCUUCAGUUCCUUCGUCACCGUUACCCGUCCACGGCUUUCUUUCAUCUGCCAAGUCUGCACACUCAAAUAUAGAGAAACCAAAUGCAAAGCCUACUGUUGUUUUGCCAUCCAAUUCUUGGCGAAGACGUCCAAGAUGCUCUCUGGACAGGAGGUAUUCUAUACGCUGGACGCAAUCACGCAAAUACUUGGUUUUUAUCACUGUAUUUUUUUUUCAUUACUGCUACAGCCUGCAGUCAAGUUACUUUCCUAGCAAGUGGACCAUCCACAUCCAGGACCAGCUAUGGUUUUUCAGGCCAAGUCUUUUAUAUAACAUCGCUCGUCCCAGAUCCACAGCAGGUGAUGGUACGGUGCCAUGAUCUGUCUCUCUCUGUAGCUCAUCGCUCUCAAGGUUGUUGGGCACAUGCAUGAUGCAUCGCGAGAUAUUUUUUGUGCGAUUUUGAACACGCUCUGUCCACCACCUUUUGUAUUGAACCAUCCAAUGCAGCCACUGAAUCUUAUCCUAGUAGCACAAGCACAAGGUGAUCAUACAUGAACUGCAGACAGGGUGCAUCUAUCCACACAAAAGGCACAUGAUCGCAGAAUUAUGAUUGCCUACAUGCCAAGAUAAGAUUCUGCUGUUGUGGUUCGCCGAAUGCCAUCCGGCCAAUUCACCUUCUUAUAAACUGAUUUCAGGGUUCAGUGCGGAAUCCAUGCAAAAGGUUGAGAAAUGCAAGGAGCUUAACACAACUGCGAGAGAUAGACGACGAUCCUCCAUCUGUCCAACUGCGUCGUCCUGGAGGUGAAUGGUCAAGGUGCCAAACUUUGAAAGCUAGCGUCGUCCUGGAGUUACACGUAGUCAAGCACCGAACGUUAGGAUUGGGUUCUGAAGAAUAUCACGUCGUGCAGCCAUGCAGGCAUGGACACCUGUAAGGGACGAAGCAAGUGUACGUAACUGUGUAAGUGACAGACUGACUAUAGAGCAAGAUGUCAAAAGCUCAAAGAAAAUGGUUUUGCUACUCAAAAACCAUGUGUCCUUUCAUGGAUUAAGGUUAAAGACGAUUAAUAAUUGUCAUUGUUUACUAUGGUAGGUUAGGUUUUGCCUA